This 265-nucleotide ribosomal RNA is filed under the name uncultured bacterium. RNAcentral describes it as "partial 16S ribosomal RNA". It matches the Rfam family "Bacterial small subunit ribosomal RNA", at positions 793 to 1055 of the family's 1533-position model. The record is from RNAcentral.
GUCCUAGCCGUAAACGAUGGACACUAGGUGUCGGGGGUGUCGACUCCCUCGGUGCCGAAGCUAACGCAUUAAGUGUCCCGCCUGGGGAGUACGGCCGCAAGGCUAAAACUCAAAGGAAUUGACGGGGGCCCGCACAAGCAGUGGAGCAUGUGGUUUAAUUCGACGCAACGCGAAGAACCUUACCUGGGCUUGACAUGUACGUGGUAGGAAUUGGAAACAUGACCGACCCCUCGGGGAGCGUACACAGGUGGUGCAUGGCUGUCGU